AGAUUAAGCUCAAGGUUUUGGACAAGUUAUUGAAUAAAAAACUAUUUUGACCUAGUGGUAGAGAUGCAAGCCCCACUGCAGGUGUGACUCUUGACCUGAACCUUUGCUGCAUGUCAUUCCAAACUCUUUACUUCUGGACUUUCUGGACCCUCUUCAGGUGUCCUCUCAAAAAAAAAAGUCCCAAAAAAGUAACCAAUAAGAAAUGAAAGAUUGGAAUACAGUUUUUAGAAAUGCUUAUGCAAGUGAAGGCAAAUUUUCAUCUUGAUGAGAGUCUGUGAUAUCUUCAACAUCUACCAAAGCUCCAUAUUCUUCCAAUAGUCGCACCCGAAACCUGACAUUUAUAGUUUAUAGAGGUGGCAUGACACUGUGCUUGCUUAGCUAGCAUACUGCUAACGAACUCUGGGCUAUUUCACUUAUUUCAGUUGCUGAUGUUGAUUGUUGAGUAACUUUGGAUGAUAGAAGGAAAAUAGUUAUGUGGUUUACACAAAUUGUGAAUCUGAAUAUUAAAGUAUGGUUAUACACACUCAGAUUGUGAAGUUUUUAGUCAGUUAUGACACAGAAUGAAAUCACGUCUGACACCAACUGUGAGAGCAACUAAAGCAAACAAAACCAUCAUGACAGUAUCCAUUAUUUCUUUAAAGUCAUUAUUGAUGUCUAAAACCACCGCUGUUUUAGGUUGGUAAAAGUGGAAGCCAAAGAUUCUUAGUUAGUGAGACAUUCAACCAUUAAAAGAAAUCAGGAAAAGAUUACUUAUUUAUUAAACUAUUAAAUGAGAAAGCUAAUCACAAGAACUGCUCCUGCUCUUCACAAUCAUGUUUUAAAUGUACUCAAAUUUGACACAGGAUACAUCUACAUGAUGACACUUCACAUACACCUUCUCAUUUGAAAUGAACACGUGUAAAUGGCAGGUGUUAUUGACACAGGGGUGACUGAGCGAUGAAUUUCACCUUAGUUGUGCUGAUGAGUGUUGCUAUCUGAAAUGACAGGGCUGCUGCAACAGUUUGCUUUCCUGACAUUUUGAAAAUUCUGCUGCUAAAAAUUACAACAUCGCAGGGUUCAUCAGUGAAAAAUGUCAAAAAAUAUGAUGUAUAUUCUCUAAGCCAUUUGAGGGCCAAUUUGUGAAGAAAUGUCUCAUUAUUGAAAAUCUUGCAAUCCACAGCUCCCUUUAAUUAUCAGUCAGAGUAUAAGCCUGUUCAGUCUGGUUUGGUGCUGUGUGAUUAGAGUGACACUGACAAAUAUAAAAGCAGAGGAGAGUCAGAGGCCAAGCAAGUAAAUGUCCAGGUCAGUGUGUAAACACGGCUGAUUGUUUGGGACACCCUUGUUAUCUAAAAGUCGUUUCUGUCAUUAACACAGAAGGACACACAUCUCCUCUGGGAGUAGACGGACAGCUCCAGGGUUAAAAGGCACAUGCUGAACUAUCAAUAACUUCCACUAAUUGUAUGCUUUGUAAUUAGAAGCAUAAUCAAUUAUGAGAUCGUUUUUUUUUCUGCCAAUAGAACAAGCUAACAAUGAGGUGAUGUCUGAAUCUGCAUACAGUAAAAAAAUAAAUAAGGCAGUGAAGUUGUCCAUGCAUGUGAUGACAGAGAAUAAUAUGUCUGUAAAAAGCAUUAACAUUUUUUAAAGGAGGCUGAAUGUUCCUGUGAAAGAAAAACCUUGAUCGUUUGACCUCUACAUUGUUGAACUGCAACUGAUGCGCUUAAUCGUCAGCUGUCACUUCCUAUCUUAAUUAAUCCUAAUUGACUAUUGAUGCGACACAACUGUUAGGCUUUAUAAUUAGUAUUGCAAUUUAGACCGGAUAAUCUAACAGGGCAGUCCAAUUACUCCAGAGGAAACAGAAAGCUGUGAGGCAAUAAUUAUGAAACAGUCACUGCACACAAUGAAAAAAAAAAAAUCAAGAGCUUUUUCUUUUGAAAGAGAAAUCCAUGCAUACAUUAAACAAUAAAUGACAAAACAGAACCUCUGCUAAUCUCAUCAGCCAUUCAAUGUAUGAGGGACAACUAAUUGAAUUGAUUGCUGCUAUCAAUAGCAAACAAAUCUGUUGAGUUGUCCAUGCUCAUAUAAUCUGACCUGAUUCCUUCAGCUGUCACUCUCUGUGAGAACGCUGCCACACGAUGCUUUGGCUAAAUCUGUCAGGCUGGGGCAUUUACAUGUCUUUGUGUUGCCAUGUUGAUAGGGCAAUUAAUAAAAUAUAUGUUAAUAGGAGCUUAAUUGUUUUACAACAGUGGUUUGACAAGGCUGAGAGAGAGGAGACUUGUCAGUGAUCUGAAAUGCGUGGCGACUCUCGGCAGUGUAGCCCUCAGCCUAACAUAUGGUCUCCUUUCCAGGCUCUAACUGUACCACAUAAUGGGAGCCUGCUGUUUAUUUUUGAAACAUUAGUGAUGCCACUACUCCUUUUGUCUCCUUCAAGACAAUAGCUGCUGUCUCUGCCUCGCAAGCAAGACACCCCCCCCCCCACACACACACACACACACACAGCCCCCCCUACACACACACACACACACACAACCAAGAUGACAUUUGAAUAAUAAUAACAACAAAUGCAUCACUGAGAGCUGCUACAUUUCUCAAUUAUACACAUAAAUAUCCAUGUUUAUUUGCAUAAACUUAUGAGGGUUCAUCUUUAAAGCAUUUUUGUGCACUCAUCUUUGUAAAAUUUGAACUAGGAGUGGAUUAUGUUUCUUGAUGCAUAAAAGCUCUGCAAAUAAGUCUGUAAUUCUUCAAAACAUAUCCUUUUGUCUUUAAAUUUACUCAAUCUAUUUCACAAAUGUUACUCUAGAGAACUUUACCAACAAACCAAAGGCUUUGUUGAUAUAAAAAAAUUUAUGAAUUGGUCAUUAGAUGUUAAAAAACUGUUCAUUAAAAAAAUAAAAAACACACAUGGCCUUCUUUUUUAAAUUUGCUUCCUGUAUAUUGUCACCUUUCAGUUAUAUUUUUUUCAUGAUGUGUGCUGCUAACCUCUAUGCCAGGUCACCCUUGUGAAAGAGAUCUUGAUCGCAAUGGAUUUUUUCUAGUUCAGUAACAUUUGUACAGAACUAAUAGUUCUAAAGUGUGUUUUUGUUGAUUAAUGGAGCAUCUUUUAUCAGCCUUUUCCCAUCACUGUUUAUGUGGGCUGCUCUGUGUAGCAGAGCUGUGUGUUUCAGACAAGGCCGAUGCCAAGUGAUUCAUACACAAAUGACCUGAGGGAGGCAGCAGUGCAGCGAACAAAUGUGAGCACAGCAUCUCACACUCCUGAGUGUGCUUUAAAGGCCAUUUACAUAGUGAAAUCUAAUUACCCCAGCUCUAUGAGAGACUAUUUGAUCUCAAUCUUAACAGAGCAGAACAUAUUAUUAAGAAAAAAAGGGGGCUUUUCUUAGAUGAAGGUGGCUUACUGAACAGGCGAAUAAGCUUGUACACAAUUCAGCACUCCCUUUUUAAUUAUUUUCCAACAUAGAUGAAAAGAGGAGAACACUGAUUUAUUUGUGUCCUGGGAGACAAUGUGGGCUUUUGAGCCACAGAACCCAAAAUAGAGGAACUUGGUGGACAGUGGUGGGAGAACAAAAUCGCCCUUUUUUUUUGUUGUUUUGGCUUCAAGGGAAAUCAAAAGUUCCCAGAAUGGUUCAACCUUAUUUCUGAGAAAAAUGCUGCUUUUAGCGUCAGGCAUCAACAUCAUCAUUAUUACAGCAAAGCCACACGAGUUCUUCCACACAGGUCCCAUAGGUGACGAAUGUCGGCAUUUCCUCACAUUAAUAAUUACUUUUGUGUUUUGUGCAGGUUUUUAACUUAAACCGUAUACAAUAGAUCAUUUUAAAUCCUAACAUGCUACACAUAUUUACAUAUACUUUCUGCAGAACAAAUUACAGCACUUUAUGCCUUUUUCUUUUUUUUUUUAACAAAAGCUGAAAAUGGUACAUCUUUAUGUCCUAUUCAAAUCCACUUUAGUAAGUUUGAUUUGUGACCAUGGUCAUAUUUUAGCAAGAUAAUGACUGUCAGACUAUUUUUUCAGCAACAAAAACUCCAGUUUCUUAGCCCAUCAAUUUUACUUAGUAAAACCAAGCAUACCACUGCUUUAAUAAUUUAAAAAAAGGCAAUGGUAGUUUAGAAAUGUACUCAAAAUCUAUGAAUAUUCUCAAUGAAAUGGGAGCUCAGUGUGAUGUGUUGAGAGCUGUAAGUGUCAAAAGUGCUAAUUUAUCAAAACAUACAGCAUAGUUACACACAUGCGCCACUUUCAGAGCAGAAGUUGCUUUUAUUUUACGUUAUUUAAAAGCAUAAUACACCAUUCAUAAAUCCAUGCUUUUCAGCUCUGUUAUUAGAAAAAAUAGAAUGAUAGGAAAAUGUCAUUUUUGCAGAAAUUAUCAAAUGCCAGCUUGGACAUUGUUACUUAGGGGUUCCCAAACCUUUCAGCCCAUGUGAGGAGGUAAAAUGAGUACUAUCAGGUGCAAAAGUGGACAGUAAAACAUAAAAACCACAGCAAGCUAAACAAGCAUAAUUUUUAUUUAUUUAUUUUUAUGCUAAUUCAAAAAAGACUAGAAGCAAAUCGUCAUGUUUAGACUGUAGCAGUGAUAAGACAAUAUUUAAUGAAUGAGUAUUAAGUGAGUCUGUGAAUCUCCGUGAUUAAGACAAGUCUAACACUUGAGGCUUCAUUUAAAGGGUCUGCAGAAAAAAAAACAGAGUGCACAUGUAACUGUGAUAGCUGUGCUGCCAUUGAUAGUUUUAUCAGUCAGGGUCAAGUGGCAAUAAAGGACAGUAGAUAAGGGAUGUGGAGUAUUAUUUGUAUGGUAUGACUUAUAGUUUUGUUCAUUUAAAACCAACACGUAUUUGUGUGUAUUUUAACAAUUACUGAUAAAUUAUGCCAUUAUCAAUAGUUCAAAAUCAAGUCUCUCCCGUAUCAGUGUCUCAUCACCCCCAUUUUGGGAACCUUUGACUUAAACCACAUUCGACCACUGAUUUCAUUUCUUUUGUCCAGUCCUGAUUCUGAAUGUUCAGUGUAUGUAUAUACGUGUGAUUGCUACACACAUUUGACUACAUGUAUGUUUCUUCUCUCCUUUUGUUGUGUUCAUACACUUCCUAGUCUCACAAAUUUCUGCCUCCAUAAUCUACUGGAUGUUUUUUUGCAUUACUCUUGGAUCGUCUAGUGCUUCUAACUUGCCUUUAUUAUGUAUCCCAAAAUUAGAGCGCUCCCAAAAUCACCACAGGAAAAGGGCCCUUGCUCUUUCCAUUUCUUUGUUCUUGCUCAUACAAAAAUCAUACAUAAUUGUACUCUCCAUGAAGAUUUUUUAGCUUUGACCUUUAGAGUGCAGUAAUAUAGAAAAUGAUGAGGAGCAGAUUUCCUGCUUCUCAGCCACAUCUCUUUCCACAUCUCCUCUUCUUUGAGGAAUAGAUUCUGUCUGCUGGGUAUGUUGAUACUAUUAGUACCAGUGUUACCACUGUUACAAAAUAGGCAUACAGCAACACAGUGUUGUAUUGUCUUAUUUGAAUAUCACUCUUUUUAGGAUCCAGAUUCUUUUUUUUGGGGGGCUUAAGAACUGAAGCAAAAUUGAUAAAAUAUUUACAAAACCUUUAGUAUUCGCCACUUUUGAGUAAUGUUAGUGCCUUUCCUUGUAAAGUCAUGUCAACUAUAACACAACUAAAAUAUCGUCAGAAAAGGAAGUUUAUCUAGGAUUUAAAAAUAUAUCUCAAAACAAACUCUAAAAGAGUAAAAUCUUGCACUUUUUCUGUACAAUGCAGUUUCCCUCAACAAAAACCUGCCUUUCUGCAGACCCAGCAGGGAUCUACGUAUAAUAACAUUUGUAGGAGCCUAUGGAUUUGCUGUGUAGAGAACUUGUUUGGUAUAUGUUGGCUGUUAGAGUAGUGCAUUGUGGAGCCAGCAUGUCUCCAGAUCUAAUGGCUUCACCAGGGAAAACAAUCAGGAUGACUUCAGUGUAUCAUCAGGGUGGUGGUAAGCUGCAGGAGAGAGCAGCGAGCUCUCUGCUAUUCCCUUAAAGCAACGUGAAGUUCGCUCCUGCUCCAAUAAUCUGGGCUGGGAUCUCAAAAUCACGAUAGGGAGCAUUGUUGUUCCCUCGGUCUAUCCACAGACCCAACAUGUGGUGUGCUGCUCAUUUCCGUAGCUGCCCUGUGGUUUCUUGUAGACUUUCUCAACCAGCCCAUGAAUGCAGGUUUCAAGAAGUGAGACUAGUGGGAGCCAUUUCUCACCAAAAGCAAAAGUAAGCUUUUGCUUCAGAGAACAUCCCCAGUGUCCAUGUUAAUCAUGUUUUUUUUUUUUUUAUUAAUUUAUUUUUUCCCAUGUUUUUUUUUUUUUAGAUCUUUGUUGGUCACAUGAAGAAAACUGGAAAUCAAAUAAUACUGAAUCAAUCAAGGAAUCAAAGAACACUUAAAGUUUUGGCCAGUGGUGGGAUAAAGUGUGAGAGGGCCAUUUUUUUCUUAGAAAAACAAAAGUAGACUUAACACAGUACUCUAAAUGUCUAAAAUACAGAAUCUCUAAAAGUACAAAAUUAUUUUUUUUCGCCCAUUUUGUCGUGAUAAUGAGAUAAUUUCAGUGUUUUUCUUGAGAUCUUAAAUUAUUUUUCUUAUCUUGAGAAAGCAAAGUUUGCUUUCUCAAGAUACUGGGAAUUUUUUUCUUAUCUCAAGACACGAAGCUCUCUUUGAAGAUUAUGAGUCAAAUUACUGGCAACCUGGAAACUUUGUGCACAAGCAGCAAGAAACACAGUAACAAACUUACCUUGAUAGUCUGUGCUGCUAUGGUGUGGCACAUGAUGAUCUGGUUAAUAAAAGUGAUGAGCCUUUUGCUCUGGUUUCUAGAUUGCCAACAAAUGAUGUGUUAAAAGAAAAUAGCUCAGUUUUCUUCAGAUAAUGACAAAAAAAAAAGUUCUAGAGAAAAAAACUAAAAUUAUCUUGUUAUCGUGACAAAACAGGCAAACUGUUUCUCGGUUCAUGUGGAAGAGGAAUACUUUCUGGUUGUGGAUUUAUCAGUAACACAGAACAACCCCACAGUCUAUCCCUGAUCCAUGUGGACCCCAACGAGAUUUUUAACUGCUAACCCUGUCUGAAGGUAACAGCACAGCAUAAAGGAACAUAGUUUACUUUACUAAACACGAGUAAACCUGCAAAAUACAUGUGUUUGGGCUCUCUGCAGACACAACACAAACAUGCGAAUCAAUUGUUUGUGUAAAUUAAGAGUCAUUCACAAGAAUUAAGCAAGUAAAUACGCAACAUUUGUGUGUCCAGUUACAAGCGAUUUAAGCGAAUAGAUGAUUUAACUCAUUAUUGGUGUGAGCAUGGCAUAAAAAUCACUGCAAAAUAACUGAGGAACCCAAAAUGUAGACUUCACUGAAAAAAGUUUCAAAAUUAAUCAAAAAGGCAAGGAAUAACAAAAAUCAUACUGUACAAACUAACUAAAAUUCCAACCC
RNAcentral lists this long non-coding RNA (7382 nucleotides) under Xyrichtys novacula (pearly razorfish). Lineage: Eukaryota; Metazoa; Chordata; Actinopteri; Labriformes; Labridae. The record is from RNAcentral.